RNAcentral lists this ribosomal RNA (446 nucleotides) under uncultured bacterium. Its description in RNAcentral is "bacterial SSU rRNA". It matches the Rfam family "Bacterial small subunit ribosomal RNA", at positions 329 to 792 of the family's 1533-position model. The record is from RNAcentral.
GGCCAGACUCCUACGGGAGGCAGCAGUGGGGGAUAUUGCACAAUGGGGGGAACCCUGAUGCAGCGACGCCGCGUGGGUGAAGGAGCGUUUCGGUACGUAAAGCUCUAUCAGCAGGGAAGAAAAUGACGGUACCUGAUUAAGAAGCCCCGGCUAACUACGUGCCAGCAGCCGCGGUAAUACGUAGGGGGCAAGCGUUAUCCGGAUUUACUGGGUGUAAAGGGAGCGUAGACGGCAGCGCAAGUCUGGAGUGAAAUGCCGGGGCCCAACCCCGGAACUGCUUUGGAAACUGUGCAGCUCGAGUGCAGGAGAGGUAAGCGGAAUUCCUAGUGUAGCGGUGAAAUGCGUAGAUAUUAGGAGGAACACCAGUGGCGAAGGCGGCCUGCUGGACUGCAACUGACGUUGAGGCUCGAAGGCGUGGGGAGCAAACAGGAUUAGAUACCCUCGUA